AGAAUCAACGCUGGCGGCGUGCCUCAGACAUGCAAGUCGAACGAUUAAAGCUCUCUUCGGAGAGUGCAUAAAGUGGCGCACGGGUGAGUAACACGUAAGUAAUCUACCUUCGAGUGGGGAAUAACGUUCGGAAACGAACGCUAAUACCGCAUAAUGCAGCGGCAUCGCAAGAUGACAGUUGUUAAAGAUUUAUCGCUUGAAGAGGAGCUUGCGGCAGAUUAGCUAGUUGGUAAGGUAAUGGCUUACCAAGGCUACGAUCUGUAUCCGGUCUAAGAGGACGGUCGGACACACUGACACUGAAUAACGGGUCAGACUCCUACGGGAGGCAGCAGUCGGGAAUUUUGGGCAAUGGGCGAAAGCCUGACCCAGCAACGCCGCGUGAAGGAUGAAGUAUUUCGGUAUGUAAACUUCGAAAGAAUAGGAAGAAUUAAUGACGGUACUAUUUAUAAGGUCCGGCUAACUACGUGCCAGCAGCCGC
Molecule: ribosomal RNA, 478 nt
Filed under: uncultured bacterium
Lineage: Bacteria
Description: SSU rRNA
Rfam family: Bacterial small subunit ribosomal RNA
Source: RNAcentral